CCUUGUACACACCGCCCGUCAAGUCAUGAAAGUCGGUAACACCCGAAGCCAGUGGCCCAACCCCUUGUGGGAGGGAGCUGUCGAAGGUGGGACUGGCGAUUAGGACU
This 107-nucleotide ribosomal RNA is filed under the name uncultured bacterium. Its description in RNAcentral is "partial 16S ribosomal RNA". It matches the Rfam family "Bacterial small subunit ribosomal RNA", at positions 1379 to 1482 of the family's 1533-position model. The record is from RNAcentral.